AAAACUUCAUUAAAAAAAAUUUAUAAUCUAUUUCUAAUUUCAAUCCCAAAACCCAUAGAUUUCUAUCCUUCCACAACUCAAAUGCAAAGCUUCAUUUUUCACCACCACUAUCGCAGAGCUCAAGCUUGUCUUCACCUUCGUCAAGUCCUUCACUCCAGUCACGAUGGGGAAUCUUGUCUCAGCGUCGUCGUUGAUGGCCUCGAUCAUGUUUCCAUCUCAAGAUCUUUAGAGGUUUCGAUUUCAAACACCCAUUUUGAUUUAUGAAGAGAACAUCCAGCUUUUGGGAUUUUAGUUUGGGGAAAUAAAAUUUAAAAAAAAAUUAAGAUUUCUGAUGGUUUUUGAUUUGGAGAAAUUGAUUUUGUUGUUCUUCUUUCACUUUUAGGAUGAAACUAACAAAAAUUGUGGUCAAAAUAUAUCUCCGUGAAAAGUUGAUAUUUUGAAAGAUGUUUUUGAAUAGGGCAGAAGAUUGCUAGGUCUUUUAUUUUUCUUUCAUUGGAUGAGAAGUGACAAAAAUGAAACCAAAAGCUAAACCAUAAAAGUUACAAACUGGGGAUGGUUAUUGCCAAAUCAAUUUUUUUUAAAGAGAAUUUUGGAGAAGAAGAUACUGAAAUUGUCGUUGAUGAAGAAAAUGAAAUUUGAGAUUUUUAUAUAAUUUUAGUUAAAAUACAUGUUUGGUAUAAUUGUGUUUUACUCCUUCAAAUGACUGCAUAAAAGCGUAACGCAGCAAAUUAAGUCACGUGUCAUUUUCCAAAAAAUGUUCAGCCAUUCUUUUCUGACUCUUAAUUGUAUAAAUGAACACAAUGUUU
Molecule: long non-coding RNA, 806 nt
Filed under: Gossypium barbadense (sea-island cotton)
Lineage: Eukaryota; Viridiplantae; Streptophyta; Magnoliopsida; Malvales; Malvaceae
Description: long non-coding RNA (GBAR_LNC007948)
Source: RNAcentral